This 253-nucleotide ribosomal RNA is filed under the name uncultured bacterium. RNAcentral describes it as "partial 16S ribosomal RNA". It matches the Rfam family "Bacterial small subunit ribosomal RNA", at positions 524 to 776 of the family's 1533-position model. The record is from RNAcentral.
UACGUAGGGUGCGAGCGUUAAUCGGAAUUACUGGGCGUAAAGCGUGCGCAGGCGGUGAGCUGUGUCCGAUGUGAAAGCCCCGGGCUUAACCUGGGAAUGGCAUUGGAAACUGGCUCGCUGGAGUGUGGCAGAAGGGGGUGGAAUUCCGCGUGUAGCAGUGAAAUGCGUAGAGAUGCGGAGGAACACCGAUGGCGAAGGCAGCCCCCUGGGCUAACACUGACGCUCAGGCACGAAAGCGUGGGGAGCAAACAGG